UUUUUAUCCUGGAAAACCUAAGCUACAACGCUCCUAGCACUUGUGGGAGGUAGCAAAUAAGGUUUUAAGGAUAGUGUGGAUAAUACACG
This is a long non-coding RNA of Ipomoea nil (Japanese morning glory), 89 nucleotides long. RefSeq lists it as uncharacterized. Lineage: Eukaryota; Viridiplantae; Streptophyta; Magnoliopsida; Solanales; Convolvulaceae. The record is from RefSeq and is a predicted model, not a curated record. The transcript has 4 exons.